AAAGAAACCCCAACGAUUUGUGCUAAGACCAAGAGGAUGCAUCUGUUUCCUGAAUCAGCCAGAUCAAAUGAGCACUGCAUGAAACGCGGCCUGUACUGAGACUUCAUUUUCUUCCAAAGACAGAUGAAGCAGUUGCACUCAAAAGGAGAAAGAAAAAGAAAAAAAAAUUAAGCCUAGGCAAAAUCAGAACUAUGAUGCCAAUGGAUUUCUUGAAAUGGUACCUUCUCCAAACUAAAAUUCAUUCCUAACAGGUUUACAGAGCACUCACUAUCCAGCUGGGGCCAAAUCAAAGGAUAAGAGACUGAGCCUGCCUUGGAAGAGCUAAAGGUCAGUGGAGGAGACAGAGAAGAAAACAAAAAAAAAGGACAAUAAAAGGAGCUUUUUCCCACAUGUAGACUUCUGAAACUGGAAGGAAACCAAAGGGAUCAUGAAACCCAACAGCCCUGUUUUACAGAUGAGGAAACUGAGGCCCAGAGAAGUGAAGUGACCUGCCCAAGGUCAAGUGGCGGGUUAACAGCGGGAAGUAGAACCCACAUCCCUGCUGACUGUAAUCCAUGCUGGACUGUCCCUGGGUAUGUCCAAAUGAAGUAAAAUUUUCUGAUUCGUGGUGGAGUCAGCAAUCAAUAACAAGACCUGCUUCUAUUUUCUGUAGGGGAAUAUAAGAGUUUGCUUCCUUUGUCUUAGACGUGGUUGCCAGAAGCUAAAAGGAUUUUUAAAUAAGUUUAAAGAAUGGAUUCAGGCUCAACUAA
Molecule: long non-coding RNA, 749 nt
Organism: Camelus dromedarius (Arabian camel)
Lineage: Eukaryota; Metazoa; Chordata; Mammalia; Artiodactyla; Camelidae
Exons: 3
Source: RefSeq, a predicted model, not a curated record